RNAcentral lists this long non-coding RNA (231 nucleotides) under Lupinus angustifolius (narrow-leaved blue lupine). Its description in RNAcentral is "long non-coding RNA (LANG_LNC002426)". The record is from RNAcentral. Lineage: Eukaryota; Viridiplantae; Streptophyta; Magnoliopsida; Fabales; Fabaceae.
CCCAUUUCUACAACUUUGUCUUUGAGAUCAGAAUCACGGAAUUCCUUAUUGAAAUUACUAGCCACAUGACGAAUACAAUAAACUGAUUGUGCACUAGACCAUCCGCUCAACUCACUUCGGAGUGCAGCUAAUAAACCUGUCCCCCUAUCUGAUAUGAUACACAGGUUUUCUUGAGGGGUAACAUACGUCUUAAGAUUGUAAAAAAACCACUCCCAAGCUUCUUUCGUCUCU